UCGAGAAUCUUCCACAAUGCGCGAAAGCGUGAUGGAGCGAUGCCGCGUGCAGGAUGAAGGCCUUCGGGUUGUAAACUGCUGUCACAGGGGACGAAUAAUGACGGUACUCUGGGAGGAAGCCACGGCUAACUACGUGCCAGCAGCCGCGGUAAUACGUAGGUGGCGAGCGUUGUUCGGAUUUAUUGGGCGUAAAGGGUCCGCAGGGGGCUAAUUAAGUCUGGUGUGAAAUCUCCCGGCUCAACCGGGAAACUGCAUUGGAAACUGAUUAGCUAGAGCAUCGGAGAGGAGAAUGGAAUUCCUGGAGUAGCGGUAAAAUGCGUAGAUAUCAGGAGGAACAUCAAAAGCGAAGGCAGUUCUCUGGACGAUAGCUGACCCUCAGGGACGAAAGCGUGGGUAGCAAACAGG
This 405-nucleotide ribosomal RNA is filed under the name uncultured bacterium. Its description in RNAcentral is "bacterial SSU rRNA". It matches the Rfam family "Bacterial small subunit ribosomal RNA", at positions 355 to 776 of the family's 1533-position model. The record is from RNAcentral.